Molecule: ribosomal RNA, 409 nt
Filed under: uncultured bacterium
Lineage: Bacteria
Description: partial 16S ribosomal RNA
Rfam family: Bacterial small subunit ribosomal RNA
Source: RNAcentral
UGGGGAAUUUUGGACAAUGGGCGAAAGCCUGAUCCAGCAAUGCCGCGUGUGUGAAGAAGGCCUUCGGGUUGUAAAGCACUUUUGUCCGGAAAGAAAUCCUUGGCUCUAAUACAGUCGGGGGAUGACGGUACCGGAAGAAUAAGCACCGGCUAACUACGUGCCAGCAGCCGCGGUAAUACGUAGGGUGCAAGCGUUAUCGGAAUUACUGGGCGUAAAGCGUGCGCAGGCGGUUUGCUAAGACCGAUGUGAAAUCCCCGGGCUCAACCUGGGAACUGCAUUGGUGACUGGCAGGCUAGAGUAUGGCAGAGGGGGGUAGAAUUCCACGUGUAGCAGUGAAAUGCGUAGAGAUGUGAGGAAUACCGAUGGCGAAGGCAGCCCCCUGGGCCAAUACUGACGCUCAUGCACGAAA